UGUAUACCCAGGUAACUACACUUGUUAUUCAAUACCUAAGAACACAGGUACAUUCAUGGGCAAAUUCCCAUCUGGUUAUUGCUCCACCUAUCAUAAUCCACCCAUAGCAUUAUUAAUGAAUCAUGCAAAAACAGUUGGGGACAUAUAUUGGCUAUGUGGAAAUAAACAACUAAGAUCCCAACUGGCGGGACUAUGGUGGGGAGAAUGUACUUUGACCAAAGCCAUAAUGCCCAUCCACAUUAUCCCGGAUGGCUAUCACAAUGCGUUAAACCCCGCACACACACACUCCAGAGCCAGGAGGGAAGCCCCAAUCUGAGGAAGCUUUGAUCCACAUGUUUGUAUUGAUGCCAUUGGUGUGCCAAGGUUGGUGCCCAACGAAUUCAAGGCAAGGGAUGAAGUGGCAGCCGGGUUUGAAUCUUUGAUUCCAAUGAUUACUGUUAAUAAGAAUGUCAAUUGGAUUAACUACAUCUAUUACAAUCAGCAGCGGUUUGUUAACUAUACCAGGGAUGCCCUACAGGGCCUAGCAGAACAACUACAAGCCACCACUCAAACGACAUUUCAAAAUAGAAUGGCUCUGGAUAUGAUCUUAGCAGAAAAGGGGGGCGUAUGUAAAAUCCUCCCAGAAACCAUGACAUGCUGCACAUUUAUUCCAGAUAACACUGGGCCCAAUGGUAAGGUAACUAUGGCUAUAGAGAAAUUAGAUAGCCUCUCUGAUGAACUAAGAAAGAACUCAGGAGUCAUUGAUACCUGGGACAGAUGGUUUGGAUGGAUGAAUGGUUGGCAGAGAACCCUAUUCUAGGUUGGGACAGCAGUUCUCGUAAUGAUUGUGAUCUUCCUAUUUUUAACCUGUUGUGUACUUCCUUGUAU
Pelobates cultripes (western spadefoot toad) is the source of this 867-nucleotide non-coding RNA. Lineage: Eukaryota; Metazoa; Chordata; Amphibia; Anura; Pelobatidae. The record is from the annotation of a GenBank genome assembly.